AGCAGCCGCGGUAAUUCCAGCUCCAAUAGCGUAUAUUAAAGUUGUUGCAGUUAAAAAGCUCGUAGUUGAAUUUCGGGAUCAAUAUGUUGGUCGUGCCUCGGUACGUACUAGCUUAUUGGUUUCUCCUUUCUGAAGAACCAUGAUGUCAUUUAUUUGGUGUCGUGGGGAAUCAGGACUGUUACUUUGAAAAAUUAGAGUGUUUAAAGCAGGCUCACGCUUGAAUACAUUAGCAUGGAAUAAUGAAAUAGGACGUUUGAUUCUAUUUUGUUGGUUUUUAGGAUCGACGUAAUGAUUAAUAGGGAUAGUUGGGGGCAUUAGUAUUCAAUUGUCAGAGGUGAAAUUCUUGGAUUUAUUGAAGACUAACUACUGCGAAAGCAUUUGCCAAGGAUGUUUUCAUUAAUCAAGAACGAAAGUUAGGGGAUCGAAGACGAUCAGAUACCGUCGUAGUCU
This 450-nucleotide ribosomal RNA is filed under the name uncultured Glomeromycotina. Its description in RNAcentral is "SSU rRNA". It matches the Rfam family "Eukaryotic small subunit ribosomal RNA", at positions 569 to 1026 of the family's 1831-position model. Lineage: Eukaryota; Fungi; Glomeromycota. The record is from RNAcentral.